This 111-nucleotide ribosomal RNA is filed under the name Ailuropoda melanoleuca (giant panda). Lineage: Eukaryota; Metazoa; Chordata; Mammalia; Carnivora; Ursidae. The record is from RNAcentral.
ACGGGCCAUACCACCCUGAAUGCGCCUGAUCUGUCUGAUCUCGGAAGCUAAGCAGGAUCGGGCCUGGUUAGUACUUGGAUGGGAUAUGGAAAUCCCAGAGAGAGACCCUUC